Long non-coding RNA from Homo sapiens (human), 1015 nucleotides. Ensembl annotates it as PSMB8 antisense RNA 1 (head to head). Its record names the gene PSMB8-AS1. The record is from Ensembl. Lineage: Eukaryota; Metazoa; Chordata; Mammalia; Primates; Hominidae.
CAGGACCAUCACACUGGGGACCGGCUUCUCUGCUCUCCCGUUAUGGGGGUCGGGGGAAUGAUGGGUCAAGGGUCUUCCGAAGAAAGCGAGAAAGGAACAGGCGCCUUCAAAAGCCCACUUGGCGAUGGGUUACAGUAAGAGGUACCUCCAGGCCCGGGCAUCCGCUGGAAACAGGGGUGGGUAGGGUCGUGUCAUCUAAAGGCGCAGCUUCAACCAGAAGACUAGAAGUCAGCCAGGAGCUGGGAGUAGUGUCACGCGGGGUGGGGGUUCCUAUGAGCAUCACUUUACAAAACCAGGAGGGACGGAAGUGCGAGGGGGCAGAGUCUUGGAAACAGGUCCUGGGCCAACUGCAACAGAAUAUACCCGCCGCGUGUAGGGGAAGGCGGCGCCAGGGAGAGGGCGCAGUCUCUGAAUCUUUCCACGGGGUCCAUCCUAGGGCCCCUCCAGGUUCAACGGUCUCCUAACCUGUAGUCACCCACAAGAGCGUGCCCUUUCUGCCCGCCCUUCCUAGCGUUGCUCCCUGCUUGGCUGAGCACUGCGGAGUUUCACGCCUCUAAACCCCGCCUCUUCUUGCAACCUGUGUUGGCCUCAUCUACCCAGCAACUGUCGACGUCACACGACCUGGGCCUCCCUGAAUGGGAGAUAUUUACUAGGCAAUCCCGCCUACUGUUCUGAGGUUUCCCCUCCAGGUGCAGCUUCAGAGCCAGGCGAGCCAGGAAGGACCAGCGGGCGAGGUGGAAGUCUGCAUUAUCACGAGGAGCUUGGAAAGGAGGUAACACACUCAAGGCAAAUUUCAAGUAACUCAUCCUGGAGGCAGCUGCCUACUCUGCAGCUGUGGUUCUCCACCACAGAGAGAAGAAAAGGGAGGGAGAUGGAGUGCGCAGGUCUGAGAAGGCUUUCAUUCUGGAGCAUCUGCAGGAGCCUGCACCAUGGCCCAGUAGCACCCCUUUUUCUCCAUGAGCUGCUGGUGGGUUCCCCCCUCCCGGAUAGCGCCUCCUUCCAGAAAGAGGAUGUG